CAGUAGCCGCGGGAACACGUAAGGUGCGAGCGUUGUUCGGGAUUAUUGGGCGUAAAGGGCAUGCAGGCGGUCGUGCAAGCCCGGCGUGAAAGGUGGGGGCUCAACUCCCAAACUGCGCUGGGAACUGCAAGGCUUGAGUUUCUGAAGGGCAGCCGGAGUUCCACGUGUAGGGGUGAAAUCUGUAGAUAUGUGGAAGAACACCAAUGGCGAAGGCAGGCUACCGGCAGAAGACUGACGCUGAGGUGCGAAGGUGCGGGGAGCAAACAGGAUUAGAUACCCCGGUAGUCCCUGUCUCUUAUAA
Molecule: ribosomal RNA, 301 nt
Filed under: uncultured bacterium
Lineage: Bacteria
Description: partial 16S ribosomal RNA
Rfam family: Bacterial small subunit ribosomal RNA
Source: RNAcentral